GGAGGGUUAGAUCAAGUGGCAGGGCGCAUGCCUAGCAGGCAUGAGGUCCUGGGUUCAAUCCCCAGUAUCUCCU
Molecule: transfer RNA, 73 nt
Filed under: Camelus bactrianus (Bactrian camel)
Lineage: Eukaryota; Metazoa; Chordata; Mammalia; Artiodactyla; Camelidae
Also listed under: 1 other name
Rfam family: tRNA
About the family: Transfer RNA (tRNA) molecules are approximately 80 nucleotides in length. Their secondary structure includes four short double-helical elements and three loops (D, anti-codon, and T loops).
Source: Rfam by way of RNAcentral